CCUACGGGAGGCAGCAGUGAGGAAUAUUGGUCAAUGGCCGGAAGGCUGAACCAGCCAAGUCGCGUGAGGGAAUAAGGCCCUAUGGGUCGUAAACCUCUUUUGUCAGGGAGCAAAGGCGUCCACGCGUGGACGGGAGGAGAGUACCAGAAGAAAAAGCCUGGGACAACACCGGGCCAGCAGCCGCGGUAAUACGGAGGAUGCGAGCGGUAUCCGGUGUUAUUGGGUUAAAAGGGUGCGUAGGCGGAGUGUCAAGUCAGCGGUAAAAUUUCGGGGCUCAACCCCGUCGUGCCGUUGAAACUGACGCCCUUGAGUAAGUGAGAAGUAAGCGGAAUGCGUGGUGUAGCGGUGAAAUGCAUAGAUAUCACGCAGAACGCCGAUUGCGAAGGCAGCUUACCGGCGCUCAACUGACGCUGAGGCACGAAAGUGCGGGUAUCGAACAGGAUUAGAUACCCCUGUAGUC
This 460-nucleotide ribosomal RNA is filed under the name uncultured bacterium. RNAcentral describes it as "partial 16S ribosomal RNA". It matches the Rfam family "Bacterial small subunit ribosomal RNA", at positions 338 to 795 of the family's 1533-position model. The record is from RNAcentral.